This 443-nucleotide ribosomal RNA is filed under the name uncultured bacterium. RNAcentral describes it as "partial 16S ribosomal RNA". It matches the Rfam family "Bacterial small subunit ribosomal RNA", at positions 338 to 795 of the family's 1533-position model. The record is from RNAcentral.
CCUACGGGAGGCAGCAGUGGGGAAUAUUGGGCAAUGGGCGCAAGCCUGACCCAGCAACGCCGCGUGAAGGCAGAAGGCUUUCGGGUUGUAAACUUCUUUUCUCAGGGACGAAGAAAGUGACGGUACCUGAGGAAUAAGCCACGGCUAACUACGUGCCAGCAGCCGCGGUAAUACGUAGGUGGCAAGCGUUAUCCGGAUUUACUGGGUGUAAAGGGCGUGUAGGCGGGAAAGCAAGUCAGAUGUGAAAACCAUGGGCUCAACCUGUGGCCUGCAUUUGAAACUGUUUUUCUUGAGUACAGGAGAGGCAGACGGAAUUCCUAGUGUAGCGGUGAAAUGCGUAGAUAUUAGGAGGAACACCAGUGGCGAAGGCGGUCUGCUGGACAGCAACUGACGCUGAGGCGCGAAAGCGUGGGGAGCAAACAGGAUUAGAUACCCCGGUAGUC